This 61-nucleotide transfer RNA is filed under the name Drawida ghilarovi. RNAcentral's name for it is "tRNA-Leu". The record is from RNAcentral. Lineage: Eukaryota; Metazoa; Annelida; Clitellata; Moniligastrida; Moniligastridae.
AUUUAGGUGGCAGAAUAGUGCAUUAGGUUUAAACCCUAAAUAUGAGAUUUUUCCCUAAAUA